This 334-nucleotide long non-coding RNA is filed under the name Lathyrus oleraceus (garden pea). RNAcentral's name for it is "Pisum sativum (pea) long non-coding RNA (PSAT_LNC016500)". The record is from RNAcentral. Lineage: Eukaryota; Viridiplantae; Streptophyta; Magnoliopsida; Fabales; Fabaceae.
NUGACCUUUUUAUCGAAUGCUUUCUCACUCUCUGUUGAUAUAACUGACCAUGACACAUGGCAGUUGAUCUCUUCUUUCUUUCAGCCGGGUUCAGCAUCAGUCAACUUGGGACUUUGAGGGUGCUAUUUCUCUUUUGUUUCUUUCUUUCUUUUUCUUUCUUUUGAUUUUGAUUUUGAUUUUUUUUCUUAUUUUGCACCCUCUUCUUUUUUUGUGCUUGUUUUUUUUUUCUUUUUUUUUUUGAUGCCCCAGUUGGCUGUUCUGCUGAUUCUCGAGAUGCAGCUGAGUGAUCUUCUUUUCUCGCUCAAGAAGUCGGGAAAUCUCGUCAGGAAUCCCU